This 253-nucleotide ribosomal RNA is filed under the name uncultured bacterium. RNAcentral's name for it is "partial 16S ribosomal RNA". It matches the Rfam family "Bacterial small subunit ribosomal RNA", at positions 524 to 776 of the family's 1533-position model. The record is from RNAcentral.
UACGUAGGGGGCAAGCGUUGUCCGGAAUCAUUGGGCGUAAAGAGCGUGUAGGCGGCCAGAUAAGUCCGCUGUGAAAUCUCGAGGCUCAACUUCGAGCUGUCGGUGGAAACUGUCUGGCUAGAGUCCGGAAGAGGCGAGUGGAAUUCCCGGUGUAGCGGUGAAAUGCGCAGAUAUCGGGAGGAACACCUAUGGCGAAGGCAGCUCGCUGGGACGUUACUGACGCUGAGACGCGAAAGCGUGGGGAGCAAACAGG